GAUAAAUCUUAUAAUGACUCAGUCCUCAAAAAUAGCACUACACACAAGUAAAUGUUUAUUCCAUAAAACGUUUUCGAACCCAAGUUUGGUCCCUCGUCGGUGCAUACAACUGAGGAUUCUUAAGAGAUUAAGUUCUUCGGUUGUAUGUACUGACGAGGGGCCGGGCUUGGGUCUGGGGGCGUUUUGCGGAGUAGGCAUUUGCUUGUGUGUAGUGCUGUUUUUGAGGACUGAAUUAUGAUAUUUCAAUAUUAUAGAUCUGGAAUUUUGUCUAAGUGGCCAUAUUUAUUCCAAUAGCGAAUUAAAUUUGGAAAAUUUUUAAAUUAUA
Molecule: long non-coding RNA, 325 nt
Filed under: Androctonus crassicauda
Lineage: Eukaryota; Metazoa; Arthropoda; Arachnida; Scorpiones; Buthidae
Source: RNAcentral